Molecule: ribosomal RNA, 2054 nt
Filed under: Triticum aestivum (bread wheat)
Lineage: Eukaryota; Viridiplantae; Streptophyta; Magnoliopsida; Poales; Poaceae
Description: partial small subunit ribosomal RNA
Source: RNAcentral
CAACGCGAUUUGCCCUUUCUCUUUCCCGUCCCCCCAAACUCGGCGGCGGCACAUCUCCUCUCCGGCGCCAUAUCUGCCGGUGGCAUCGAGCGCUACCGGCGGGGCGGCAGGUUAAUUCGAUGCAACCCAUGGCUGUGGUGCCUCGGGUGGAGUCGCAAGCUUCGAUGAGAGUCGCAGAUGGCCAGAUUUGUCGCGUUGCCGAUCUAGCAGUGCCCAACUCCGGUGAUUUCCAGUUGGACUGAAACGGGGGAUUUAAGGUGUGCUCUGAAGCUACGAGCAGAUGGACAAGAAGGUAUGUAGUGCUAAACUUGAAUUUGAUUUGUUCUACGGGCCAAGAAAAAUUGUGUGUAGUUUGUCCUGCAAGUAGUGAUUCUCAUGUCAGUUAUGUGAAUGCAUGUUUGACUGUUUCGAUUCAUGUAUGUGCUGCCAUGACUGAAUUCAUAUGUUCUUUUUUUUGUCCUUUUCAGCUAUUAAUGAGCUUGACUAAAUGGAUUUGCAAUUGUUGUUUGUUUUGGUCAGUAGUGCGUUAUUGUUUGUUCCUAGUUCCGGGAAUUCCGCUAAAUAAGUAACUCUGCUGACAUUUUGUGAAGAACACCGCAUGAAGUGUGUUCAUGCCUUUCGUGCGACUGAACCAUAAGCAAAGUUUACCCAAUUUUCUCGUAAUUAAUAUGUUCAUUUCGGUAGAUAGCUAAGCUGUCUGGAGAAAUAAAUAAUCCCCUUUGCCAAGUUCUUAUAAAUUAAAUUAGCUGUAAAUGGUAAAAUUUUCAGCAAGUGCGCCUGCAUUGGCCAGGUUUUGGACAAUUAGCUGAUUACCUUUUGAUUGCCAUGUUAUAUCUCAUGCUACAACAAAUGUGUUUUAGUUUUUGCUUCUGUUGUACUACUAUGGCAUAUGACCCAGUCAGACACAAUAUAAUUUAUGUUAAUGUGUUUUCCUUCAAUAUCUGUACCUAACUGAACAAACACUGCAUAAAUUGUCACCCACAAGCUGCAGUCCGAAUUGGAAAGAAAGAUGUCUUCUGGGUAGUUGGUUUCUGAACUUAUUUUUCAACCAAAAUGCUGCAGUACCAAUUAGAAUUCUAUGCUUAGGUUAUUAAGAUAUUUAGUGUGGCACCUUUCACUGAUUUGGCAGCUUGUACUUUUUGGAUCAUAUAAAUUCAAUUCGGUUCAAUUUUUUUUCCAGCAGCCGUGCGUGCUAGCUUGCUGUUUGAUUAACCAGUUACUUAGUAGAGGUCAACUGGGCUAUAGAAUUCUGCACUCCAUAGUAUAGGAUAAUUGUCAUGGAUGCAUCUAUUCUGAAGUUAGUGAUCAGUAAUUAAGAUAGCAUCUCCAUAUUUUGCAGGCCCGGUUUUGUCGCUUUAUUUUUCAAUUAGUUCACUAGGACACACAUGCGUUCCACAAAGAUACUACAAUGUAACCUCUCCAUAUUUUCCAACCAGUCCCUUUGUGAUAUGCUAAUUUUCCCCCUGUUUUUAUGUUCUACCAUUAGUCUGCUAAGUAGGAGACAUGUUGACCGGUAAUGUUCAGGAAUUAUGAAACUGUUCAGGUAUAGUCGACAUACUUCAAGAGAAUAAGCAAAAGUCUAGGUUCUGCACCAUACGUCAAGGUCAGGGACACAAGAUUAUCACAUGCAUGUGCUGAACAAGGCUCCGAGGAAAUUGCCAAAGUGUUCGAAGUGUGUAGUGCUUGGUCACAGGAAGAAUGUGUGACUUACCGAUCAAUUUGAGCCGAACUUCCUUUAGCCCCGCUUUAUCAAAUGUAGCAAGAGUGUUUUGAAAUUCAGUUUCUCUACAUUUCAGUUCAUAAUUUUGUUCAUGUUCACCGGGUCAUUGGUGUGAUGACCGUUUGGGACUUAAUGAGAUAUUUUAUUCGAAUUGUCGGGACAUUUAGUUGAUACACUGCAUGGUUUGUUGCUGAUGUUUGUCAACGACGAGCGUGAAACAGGCCCGUUGCAUCAUAUGGACCGUGAAUUACAAAAUGCCAUGUGUUAUUUUUCCCGACAUGUUCAAUUUGAGUGGCAUGAUCAGUUCUUCCAGUUGCCGGGUGGGGGAGGUUCA